AUUGAACGCUGGCGGCAGGCCUAACACAUGCAAGUCGAGCGGAUGAAGGGAGCUUGCUCCUGGAUUCAGCGGCGGACGGGUGAGUAAUGCCUAGGAAUCUGCCUGGUAGUGGGGGAUAACGUCCGGUAACGGGCGCUAAUACAGCAUACGUCCUGAGGGAGAAAGUGGGGGAUCUUCGGACCUCACGCUAUCAGAUGAGCCUAGGUCGGAUUAGCUAGUUGGUGGGGUAAAGGCCUACCAAGGCGACGAUCCGUAACUGGUCUGAGAGGAUGAUCAGUCACACUGGAACUGAGACACGGUCCAGACUCCUACGGGAGGCAGCAGUGGGGAAUAUUGGACAAUGGGCGAAAGCCUGAUCCAGCCAUGCCGCGUGUGCGAAGAAGGUCUUCGGAUUGUAAAGCACUUUAAGUUGGGAGGAAGGGCAGUAAGUUAAUACCUUGCUGUUUUGACGGUACCAACAGAAUAAGCACCGGCUAACUUCGUG
RNAcentral lists this ribosomal RNA (484 nucleotides) under uncultured bacterium. Its description in RNAcentral is "partial 16S ribosomal RNA". It matches the Rfam family "Bacterial small subunit ribosomal RNA", at positions 30 to 507 of the family's 1533-position model. The record is from RNAcentral.